RNAcentral lists this ribosomal RNA (485 nucleotides) under uncultured bacterium. RNAcentral describes it as "partial 16S ribosomal RNA". It matches the Rfam family "Bacterial small subunit ribosomal RNA", at positions 355 to 831 of the family's 1533-position model. The record is from RNAcentral.
UGGGGAAUUUUGGACAAUGGGCGAAAGCCUGAUCCAGCAAUGCCGCGUGUGUGAAGAAGGCCUUCGGGUUGUAAAGCACUUUUGUCCGGAAAGAAAUGGCUCUGGUUAAUACCUGGGGUCGAUGACGGUACCGGAAGAAUAAGGACCGGCUAACUACGUGCCAGCAGCCGCGGUAAUACGUAGGGUCCAAGCGUUAAUCGGAAUUACUGGGCGUAAAGCGUGCGCAGGCGGUUGUGCAAGACCGAUGUGAAAUCCCCGAGCUUAACUUGGGAAUUGCAUUGGUGACUGCACGGCUAGAGUGUGUCAGAGGGGGGUAGAAUUCCACGUGUAGCAGUGAAAUGCGUAGAGAUGUGGAGGAAUACCGAUGGGCGAAGGCAGCCCCCUGGGAUAACACUGACGCUCAUGCACGAAAGCGUGGGGAGCAAACAGGAUUAGAUACCCUGGUAGUCCACGCCCUAAACGAUGUCAACUAGUUGUUGGGAUUC